UUGAACCUGAGAGUUUGAUCCUGGCUCAGAACGAACGCUGGCGGCAUGCCUAACACAUGCAAGUCGAACGAAGGCUUCGGCCUUAGUGGC
Molecule: ribosomal RNA, 90 nt
Filed under: Nitrospirillum amazonense
Lineage: Bacteria; Pseudomonadati; Pseudomonadota; Alphaproteobacteria; Rhodospirillales; Azospirillaceae
Description: partial 16S ribosomal RNA
Rfam family: Bacterial small subunit ribosomal RNA
Source: RNAcentral